AGAAAAAUGAAAUAUAUCAGAAGUGUGCCACACAGGCAGCCUCGUGAGGUCUGUUCCCUCCAGCUGAUGAACUGACAACUUCCUCCUUUCUCCAGCAAGGAGGGGCCUCAGAUCCUCUAAAAAGAGUGGAAAACUGUCAAAAAAAAGUGCUGAGCCUCAAUGAGCACUACACUGAAGAUGAAGUUUUCAUUUGUCUUGUUUCUUUUAUUUGAUAUCCCUCAACUAAAAGGGCAGCAGAGGAUUGAGGAGUUUGAACACAUUCUGCUGAGACUUGCGUUCCCUUCCUUUUACAAUAGCUACAGCAAGUCCUGCUGUAAACUCUACCCAGGAGGAUGUUACAAGCUGCUGGACAGUACAGGAUACACCUGUGAUUUACUGAAAGGAAGAGUUACUAAAACUGAGAGUGACGGUUGGGUGGAAUUUAAAAUAUCGAAUGUGCAGCUUGUGGACGGAGGCUAUUACAGAUGUAUUGUGCUGGGAACUCAAAACCGAGUCUACAGUGAUUACUAUGUCGAGGUGUCUGAGAUUUCAGGUCACCAGUCUCAGCCUUCUCUGACAACAACCAUCAAAGUCCCCAACACCUUCACGACACUCCCAGACUCCACUGGGGUUGUUCUGGCACAGGACCACAGUGACAGUCCCGGAGUUCCCUGGAGUUUUGGCCUGCCGUUAGUUGUCAUUGUGUCCAUUACAGUGAUGAUUUUGAUCACUUCAGUUAUUGGUGUGGUUUGCUGCAGAGUCAAGGCAAAACGUAAACAGUCGGACAAAUAUGGAGAAACUCUGUGUGAGUCACUGAAACAAGAGGCCCCGGAAAUGAGUGGCAUAGUCUACACAACAGUGGACUUCAGAGCUCACCAGAAGCCGACAGAGGUGUAUGCAAACCUGAGGAUGCACAAAACACAAGCGGGAGCCCCUGACUCCACAUGGAGUGCAGAGCAUGAUGGUAUGGUGGAGUACUCAACACUGGCAAUCCACUAGUUAAUUCAUGUGAAGAUUUUGGUUUGUUUCUGUUUUUAAUGGGACAUAUUUAAUUUGUCACGCAACUGUGUUUCUAAAGGUCCUUUGCAGGGAUCUUUAGGCAGAAAUUAAAUAUAUUAUUCAUAGUUAUGUUUUCAUUUCAUAGUGUGUAAUCAAUCACCUGUAUAUAGGAAUCGUUUUCGUUAUUUUCAAAUGAACUGUUUUUGUUAGGGAGCAGGUCCUCUUAUAUGGAGUCCACCAUGUUGAACCGCAUUGUUUCUGCAGUAGCCCAGAAAGGACAAACCGAAGACUGGCUUUAGAUAGGGCCUUUAAAAUGUUUUGAGUUUCCAGGGCGUUGUAAUCUUCCACUACACCACUAGAUGCCACAAAAUCUUACACACUGGUCGUUUAAAGGGAACUCCAUUGAUCUUUCACACAGAUGUCAAUGUAUUAGUUAGAACAUGGUCAGCCUGUGUAGAGUUUGAAAUGCAAUAACCAAGGAGGAAGACUCUAACAAAAAGAUGCAUUUUGUUGCAUUAUGGGAAAUGUAGGCUCCAACAGUUUUAGAUCUUGACCCAUAUUGGACCAAAAUUAAGGACGUCUUCACUGCUGCUUUGGUUAUAAAUGUUCUUUUGUCUGUUUUGAAUAUGGUUGUGUAAUAUUAAAUCACUGAACUACUCCUUUGAGUGUACAUAUCAUGUGUUCUUCAUGUAAAUGAGAAGUUAUUGAAAUGAUAUUGGCAAUAAACACUGUUGUGAAAAACCUGUUAAAUUAAGAAAAUUGUGUUUGCUUCC
Dicentrarchus labrax (European seabass) is the source of this 1751-nucleotide long non-coding RNA. The record is from Ensembl. Lineage: Eukaryota; Metazoa; Chordata; Actinopteri; Moronidae.